UUCAUUUAUCCAUCAGUCUACUCAUUUAUUCAUUAUUAAAACACAUUUUUACUAUUUUGAUAGAAUAACCUUAAAGAACAAAAAGCCACUAUGUCGUGUAAAAUGGAGAAUAAAAUGAUUAUAAGGUUAAAAAAAAAUAAAUAUAAUAAACAAACUGAUUGUAUUCAUAACAUCUUAUAAUAUAUAUAUAUAUAUAUAUAUACACGUGUACGUAUGUACAUUUGCUACCUUUUUUUUUUUAAUCAUACAGAUACCAAAGUUGUACCAUUUUAAACAAUUACGAAAGAAUAAAAACUAAGCUAUACGAAAGUAAUGAAAUGUGCUAUUAUUUCUCAAAAACAAACUUUAAUUUAUUUAAAGAAUUAAAAAAAAAAAAAAAAAAAAUAGAAUCGUUAAAUAAGAAAAUGUCUUAUAUUAAAUGUCUUCUUAUGAAAAGAAAUCAGUCGAACCAAAUGGGUUCUAAACUAUUAAAGAUACACGAGGAAUACAUAGAAACAAUUAUACGCCCUCUACAUUGCGUAAAAUUAAUCUCAAACGAAUAUACUAAAAUACCAGUAGAUGAAGGGAAUGCUUCCAUUAAAUUAGAUCAUGCAUUUGUUGAGAAUAAAGUAGAUGACAAAAGCAAGGAUGAAAUUAAAAAUUUAAAAAUAGUUUUAAAUAAUAUAAAAAAUGAAAAUAAGUUAUUAAACAAAAAAUAUGAACUUUUAUACAAAAAAUAUAUGAGCGCACUGAAAAAAAAACCUUAUAAAAAUAAAGAGCUCAAAUUUAUUCAAGAAGAAAAAAAAGAAGAAAUUGAACAAUCGAGCAAUGGUGAUGUUAUUCAUUCUUUUUAUUUGAAAAAUAAUGAAAAUAAUUAUAAACAAAAAUGUGACAACGAUAUGAAUAUAAGAAAUUGUAUGGAGGUAAAAGUUGUAAAUAAAAAGCAGUUUGGUAUGAAUAAGUUUGACAAUUAUAAAGGUAAUAAAAAAAUAAAAAGAAACUGUAUUAAUAAUGUUAUAUAAAAACACAUAAAGAAAUAGUUGUAUCUGUCUUGUGCUUUUCCUUGCCUUUAAUAAAGUUUAUAAUUUAUUUGG
This is a long non-coding RNA of Piliocolobus tephrosceles (Ugandan red Colobus), 1073 nucleotides long. The record is from Ensembl. NCBI's taxonomy places the organism in Eukaryota, Metazoa, Chordata, Mammalia, Primates, Cercopithecidae.